UACGUAGGGUGCGGGCGUUAAUCGGAAUUACUGGGCGUAAAGCGUGCGCAGGCGGCCUCUUAAGUCAGAUGUGAAAUCCCCGGGCUUAACCUGGGAACUGCGUUUGAAACUGGGAGGCUAGAGUGUGGAAGAGGGGGGUGGAAUUCCAGGUGUAGCAGUGAAAUGCGUAGAGAUCUGGAGGAACACCGAUGGCGAAGGCAGCCCCCCUGGGCUAACACUGACGCUCAUGCACGAAAGCGUGGGGAGCAAACAGG
This 254-nucleotide ribosomal RNA is filed under the name uncultured bacterium. Its description in RNAcentral is "partial 16S ribosomal RNA". It matches the Rfam family "Bacterial small subunit ribosomal RNA", at positions 524 to 776 of the family's 1533-position model. The record is from RNAcentral.